GAUGAACGCUGGCGGCGUGCCUAAUACAUGCAAGUCGAGCGAACAGACGAGGAGCUUGCUCCUUCGACGUUAGCGGCGGACGGGUGAGUAACACGUAGGUAACCUACCUAUAAGACUGGGAUAACUUCGGGAAACCGGAGCUAAUACCGGAUAAUAUUUCGAACCGCAUGGUUCGAUAGUGAAAGAUGGCUUUGCUAUCACUUAUAGAUGGACCUGCGCCGUAUUAGCUAGUUGGUAAGGUAACGGCUUACCAAGGCAACGAUACGUAGCCGACCUGAGAGGGUGAUCGGCCACACUGGAACUGAGACACGGUCCAGACUCCUACGGGAGGCAGCAGUAGGGAAUCUUCCGCAAUGGGCGAAAGCCUGACGGAGCAACGCCGCGUGAGUGAUGAAGGUCUUCGGAUCGUAAAACUCUGUUAUUAGGGAAGAACAAACGUGUAAGUAACUGUGCACGUCUUGACGGUACCUAAUCAGAAAGCCACGGCUAACUACGUG
This 497-nucleotide ribosomal RNA is filed under the name uncultured bacterium. Its description in RNAcentral is "partial 16S ribosomal RNA". It matches the Rfam family "Bacterial small subunit ribosomal RNA", at positions 28 to 507 of the family's 1533-position model. The record is from RNAcentral.